GAAACUCAAAGGAAUUGACGGGGACACGCACAAGCAGUGGAGUAUGUGGUUUAAUUCGAAGCAACGCGAAGAACCUUACCAGGUCUUGACAUCCCUCUGAAUCGACUAGAGAUAGGCGCGGCCUUCGGGACAGAGGAUACAAGUGGUGCAUGGUAGUCGUCAGCUCGUGUCGUGAGCAGUUGGGUUAAGUCCCGCAACGAGCGCAACCCUUGACUUUAGUUGCCAGCAGGUAAAGCUGGGCACUCUAGAGUGACUGCCGGUGACAAACCGGACGAAGGUGGGGAUGACGUCAGAUCAUCAUGCCCCUUAUGACCUGGGCUACACACGUAAUACAAUGGCCGGUACAACGGGAAGCGAAGCCGCGAGGUGGAGCCAAUCUUAUAAAGCCGGUCUCAGUUCGGAUGGGUCUUGUACACACGC
Molecule: ribosomal RNA, 420 nt
Filed under: uncultured Paenibacillus sp.
Lineage: Bacteria; Bacillati; Bacillota; Bacilli; Caryophanales; Paenibacillaceae
Description: bacterial SSU rRNA
Rfam family: Bacterial small subunit ribosomal RNA
Source: RNAcentral